GUAACUCUUGAAGCAGGCAAAACAUCCAGGCCUCUUCCAAGCUCGCUGCCUUCUCCUCCAAGCUGGCUUCCGGAAUUCUCCUACAAGAAAAAACGAGGAAGAAGUGCCACAGAAUUUGGUCUACAAUACUGAAUGCACAGUUUCUGGUGCACCGGCCCGGCUUGGCCCAGUUCAACACCCUGAGAUGAAAUGGGGUGAAAAUCCAUCCUGCAAGUUUUAGGUAGAUGCUGGCUGUUCAUGGUGUUGACUGGCAGGACCCCUAAAAUGUCAUCAAGAAGCCUUCCUACCCCUCUUGUCCUAGACCUGCUUUGCACUUAGCAAAACAUCCAUAUAUAGAUGUACAGUUAUAGUAAGAGAGAGCAACAAAUGAACGCAUAUGUCCAUUACUAUUCUUGCAACACUUUGAAAUGGGGGAAGGGCAAGACUGAGCUAGUAUUCAGUUCACUGAAAUGACAGGUAUAUGUGUUCUGAAGAUGGAAAACAGGGACAAACUGUGAGCUCUCCUUUAAUAUUAGGUUUGUCUUAACCCUUAAAAAUUGGUUAAUUUUAGGUUUCUUCAUUUAUUGUUGCAGCAAAGAUUAUUAUUUCUGUCCUAUUGCACCUUUAUUCUGCAUUAAUAUGCUUGGGGAUGGAAAAAUAAUUUGAUUUAUUGCACCUUUAUUCUGCAUUAAUAUGCUUAGGGAUGGAAAAAUAAUUUGAUUUAGUACACAUUUAAAGGCAAAUCUUUUUCC
Non-coding RNA from Podarcis muralis (Common wall lizard), 731 nucleotides. The record is from RefSeq and is a predicted model, not a curated record. Lineage: Eukaryota; Metazoa; Chordata; Lepidosauria; Squamata; Lacertidae.